This 495-nucleotide ribosomal RNA is filed under the name uncultured bacterium. RNAcentral describes it as "partial 16S ribosomal RNA". It matches the Rfam family "Bacterial small subunit ribosomal RNA", at positions 30 to 507 of the family's 1533-position model. The record is from RNAcentral.
UGAACGCUGGCGGCGUGCCUAAUACAUGCAAGUCGCGCGAACGGACGCGAAGCUUGCUUUUCUGAUGUUAGCGGCGGACGGGUGAGUAACACGUGGAUAACCUACCUAUAAGACUGGGAUAACUUCGGGAAACCGGAGCUAAUACCGGAUAAUAUUUUGAACCGCAUGGUUCAAAAGUGAAAGACGGUCUUGCUGUCACUUAUAGAUGGAUCCGCGCUGCAUUAGCUAGUUGGUAAGGUAACGGCUUACCAAGGCAACGAUGCAUAGCCGACCUGAGAGGGUGAUCGGCCACACUGGAACUGAGACACGGUCCAGACUCCUACGGGAGGCAGCAGUAGGGAAUCUUCCGCAAUGGGCGAAAGCCUGACGGAGCAACGCCGCGUGAGUGAUGAAGGUCUUCGGAUCGUAAAACUCUGUUAUUAGGGAAGAACAUAUGUGUAAGUAACUGUGCACAUCUUGACGGUACCUAAUCAGAAAGCCACGGCUAACUACGUG